RNAcentral lists this ribosomal RNA (353 nucleotides) under uncultured bacterium. Its description in RNAcentral is "bacterial SSU rRNA". It matches the Rfam family "Bacterial small subunit ribosomal RNA", at positions 917 to 1271 of the family's 1533-position model. The record is from RNAcentral.
GGGCCCGCACAAGCGGUGGAGCAUGUGGUUUAAUUCGAUGCAACGCGAAGAACCUUACCAGGGUUUGACAUCCUGCGAAUCUCUUGGAAACGAGAGAGUGCCUUCGGGAGCGCAGUGACAGGUGGUGCAUGGCUGUCGUCAGCUCGUGUCGUGAGAUGUUGGGUUAAGUCCCGCAACGAGCGCAACCCACGUCUUUAGUUGCCAGCAUUUAGUUGGGCACUCUAGAGAGACCGCCGGUGAUAAACCCGGAGGAAGGUGGGGAUGACGUCAAGUCCUCAUGGCCCUUACAGGCUGGGCUACACACGUGCUACAAUGGCGAUGACAGUGGGCAGCGACCCGCAAGGGUGAGCUAA